RNAcentral lists this ribosomal RNA (520 nucleotides) under uncultured bacterium. Its description in RNAcentral is "bacterial SSU rRNA". It matches the Rfam family "Bacterial small subunit ribosomal RNA", at positions 992 to 1509 of the family's 1533-position model. The record is from RNAcentral.
AGAACUUAGCAGAGAUGCUUUGGUGCCCUUUCGGGGAACUCUGAGACAGGUGCUGCAUGGCUGUCGUCAGCUCGUGUUGUGAAAUGUUGGGUUAAGUCCCGCAACGAGCGCAACCCUUAUCCUUUGUUGCCAGCGGUUAGGCCGGGAACUCAAAGGAGACUGCCAGUGAUAAACUGGAGGAAGGUGGGGAUGACGUCAAGUCAUCAUGGCCCUUACGAGUAGGGCUACACACGUGCUACAAUGGCGCAUACAAAGAGAAGCGACCUCGCGAGAGCAAGCGGACCUCAUAAAGUGCGUCGUAGUCCGGAUUGGAGUCUGCAACUCGACUCCAUGAAGUCGGAAUCGCUAGUAAUCGUGGAUCAGAAUGCCACGGUGAAUACGUUCCCGGGCCUUGUACACACCGCCCGUCACACCAUGGGAGUGGGUUGCAAAAGAAGUAGGUAGCUUAACCUUCGGGAGGGCGCUUACCACUUUGUGAUUCAUGACUGGGGUGAAGUCGUAACAAGGUAGGCGUAGUGCU